UCUCCCAAAAGAAAAUACUAAAACUUUGGUUCCUUAUAAUUUUCUCAUUUUUAUUUUUUGCAACACACACACGCGCGCGCGCACGCGCGCACUCAAUUUGCAUGUUUUUUAUUUAUUGGGGACAAAAUACCAUGAUGUGUGUGGAGAUCAGACAAUACCACUUGGGAGUUCCCACAGUGUAAAUCCUGUUGAUGACUCAGGUUGUCAGUUUGGUGGCAAGCUAAGCGCCUUUUACCCACUGAGCACCAGCUCUCCUUGCUUUCUUUGUUUAUUUGUUUGGUUUUGGUUUUGGUGUUUGAGGCAGGGUCUCUCUGUGUAGAUAGGUGGACUUCAGGUUUGAGAUGUUCUCCUUGCCUUAUCUCCUGAGUACUGAGAUCACAGGUAUGAGCCACUCCCUUCCUUAUGUUUUAUUUUCCUUCUCUGUGGAAUUUUUAGUGUUCUACAUUGUAUAAUUUUUAUUAUUAUUUGUGUAUUUCUUUUAUCCUUCCUGAACCGUAAGUUUCUAAAGACUUGUAAUUGGUAGGUUUUUGCAUGUUCUUUGUUGUUACUUUGCCUGGUUUAUUCUGUGUAUGUUUUACAACUCCUUAGAAUAGCCCAAAACAACAUUAAUACUUGAAGACAGAUGGGGCCAAGCAUGAUGUCUCGGUAGGUAAAUGUGCUAGCUGUCAAGCUCAACACGUUGAACUUAGUACCCAAGAUCCACACGGUGGAAGGAGAGUAUUGACCUCUGCCAGUUGUCCUCUGACUGCUGGUCACAUAUGCACACCAUGGUAUUCAUCACCAAGACCACUACCCCAAUAAAUAAAUAAAUAAUAAAUAAAUAAAUGAGUGAGUGAGUGAGUGAGUAAGUGAGUGAAUGAAGAAAUGUGUAAAAAUGCCAGUUUUUUCUCCUGGUUACUUAAUUCCCAGAAAUAACGACUCUAAGACUAUUUAUUAAUAAACACCUAGGGGUUGGGGAUUUGGCUCAGUGGUAGAGCACUUGCCUAGCAAGCGCAAGGCCCUGGGUUCGGUCCCCAGCUCCGAAA
Molecule: long non-coding RNA, 1025 nt
Filed under: Rattus norvegicus (Norway rat)
Lineage: Eukaryota; Metazoa; Chordata; Mammalia; Rodentia; Muridae
Description: long non-coding RNA NONRATT006099
Rfam family: tRNA (bases 954-1022)
Source: RNAcentral